CGGGCGUAGCAAUACGUCAGCGGCAGACGGGUGAGUAACGCGUGGGAACGUACCUUUUGGUUUCGGAACAACACAGGGAAACUUGUGCUAAUACCGGAUAAGCCUUACGGGAAAGAUUUAUCGCCGAAAGAUCGGCCCGCGUCUGAUUAGCUAGUUGGUAGGGUAAUGGCCUACCAAGGCGACGAUCAGUAGCUGGUCUGAGAGGAUGAUCAGCCACAUUGGGACUGAGACACGGCCCAA
RNAcentral lists this ribosomal RNA (240 nucleotides) under uncultured bacterium. RNAcentral describes it as "partial 16S ribosomal RNA". It matches the Rfam family "Bacterial small subunit ribosomal RNA", at positions 67 to 334 of the family's 1533-position model. The record is from RNAcentral.